RNAcentral lists this unclassified non-coding RNA (559 nucleotides) under uncultured Bartonella sp. RNAcentral's name for it is "partial 16S-23S ribosomal RNA intergenic spacer". The stretch from base 120 to 193 matches the Rfam family "tRNA". Lineage: Bacteria; Pseudomonadati; Pseudomonadota; Alphaproteobacteria; Hyphomicrobiales; Bartonellaceae. The record is from RNAcentral.
UCCCAAGCCUUCUGGCGAUCCGCGAUAAGUUCUUUGUAGAACUUUAAGAAAAGCAUUUUCCAUUAAAAGAAUGCCUUUUAUGUGAUAAUGCCGGGGAAGGUUUUCCGGUUUAUCCCGGAGGGCUUGUAGCUCAGUUGGUUAGAGCGCGCGCUUGAUAAGCGUGAGGUCGGAGGUUCAAGUCCUCCCAGGCCCACCAAUUAUCCAUCCAUAGAAAAGCGCUUAGAAAGUUUGUUUGUUAACAGGUCAACGUUGUUUUGUAGGACGCCAAUAUUGUCUUGAAAAAGAGCUUUCUUGUAAAGUUUGAGAAAACUUGUUUAUCGCUUUUUGUAAGAUGUGGUGUUUGUCUGCUUUUAAAGCGAUCGAAACUGAAAGUGUUUCAAAGAUAAGAGUCUUGGAACAGAAGAGUCUUGGAAUAGAAAAGAAUAUAAAGUCUAGGUGGUAUUACAUAGUCUAGAGUUAAAUUGUUCAUGAUUGGAACAUCUCAUAUUGAAAUGCUGCGAUAUAAAGGUUUCGAAUAAAUUAUUCCGUUUUGGGGCCGUAGCUCAGCUGGGAGAGCACC